This 217-nucleotide long non-coding RNA is filed under the name Elaeis guineensis (African oil palm). RNAcentral's name for it is "long non-coding RNA (EGUI_LNC030570)". The record is from RNAcentral. Lineage: Eukaryota; Viridiplantae; Streptophyta; Magnoliopsida; Arecales; Arecaceae.
UUGUGGAAGAUUUUCAAUCGAGGUCGGAGAUGGUUGGAGUGAGCCGAAGGCCGUCGGAGCGGCGUCCCUGCAAAAUAAGUCCCGAUCAAAAUUGGUUCCGGUGUGGACUCUCCGACGGUCAAGUCAGAAAUCUGGCACAAUAGAUGAGAAAGGGGAGAACUAUGGGAGCACAAGCAUGGUAAGCACACGGCUCGCUCUAGCCAUCUCCGACCUCGGU